This is a long non-coding RNA of Peromyscus californicus insignis, 2487 nucleotides long. RefSeq lists it as uncharacterized. The record is from RefSeq and is a predicted model, not a curated record. The transcript is spliced from 5 exons. Lineage: Eukaryota; Metazoa; Chordata; Mammalia; Rodentia; Cricetidae.
UGUUUCCAGCUGCUUGCGCUGUCUGCUGAGCCGACUGGCUGGGGAUGCCUAAGCAGAGGUGCCUGGGAGAGCUCUCGGGAAGGCAGAUCUUGGGAAGAACUUCCUGGGGGACUGCCUGAGGACUGAGGCAGGGAGGACUGUCACAGGAGGAGUGAGCCAGGAUACGCUGCUCCUCCCACAUGGAGAAUGGCAAGUUUGGGAAAGGAGCUGGAGCAGGGCUAGGGCAGUUCCGCUCUGCUCAGAGAUUCAGCUAAGUGGUGUGGCUGGAGUGGCAGAGGGGCCACGACGGCUCUAGAAACCUUAAGAAGCCCCGAGGGGGACAGGAGUGGGUGGUUAGGUGGAGCACUAGUGAGCGAGGGCUUGGAAGGGAGCAGGGGCCAGGGGAGUCUGACUUCUUCACGAAGGACGCGGCCUUCCCUCUCUACCUUCCUCCUUGUCGCGUUUUCAUUGUUUCUUGUAGGUACCACCUUUUCCAGGCAAGAAAGGCGGCCAUGAAUCCGUCCAUAGCGGUCUAGAUGCCACUAGAAUCCCUGGAUCUUACUGGCUCUUGCUAAGAGCAACUGAAGCCUCAGAAUCCAACAAAGCCCCAGCCUAGAGCGGGAGCAGUGAGGAGUGUGAGGCAGAGGGCGGAGCCUUGAAGCACCCCUCCCCCAUAGCUUCUUCACUAUUCGCCCCAGAAGCGAGUCAGGGUACUUAGUGUUUAAGGAGGAGGGCUUGGACAGGUUACAUAAGUUUCACUUCCACUCUGGGCCCCUUAACUGCUCAUUGUGCGGCACAGGCAAGCACGGUGAUUUCUUUGGUUCCCUCACCUGCAAACUGUGAGUAAUGAUCGGACUGGUUACCUAACCCUGCAGAAGGAACUCCUCAACGCUCAGCAGCUGAAAAUCACACACAGUGGUCACCUUAAUUCCUGGGGGCUGGGGUUCGGGCCCAACUCAGGCAAGCCCCUGCUGGACUCUCACCCAGCUGCUGCCUCAGUAGAAGGCCACACGGGAGAAGAGUCCACAGGACUCAGUUUCUCAAAGGCUGUGAGACAGGUCUACAGCGUUUUGAAGCUUACAGAUUUCUUAGAAAUGACAACGAAGGUUACUAGCUGUGCAUCUUUGGGGAAAUGACCUAACCAUUCUGAGCUUCAGAUGUCUCACCCACAAAGGGAGACUAACCAUCUCUGCCACAGAACUGUGUGAGGUGUGGCUCAAGAUGUGAGCGCUCAGCUGCUGCUCCAGAUGCCUGCCAUCUGUUAUCUUGGUUCUGCUGCCAUGGACUUUGAUCCUCUGAAACUGCAAACUCCAAAUAAACUUUUUUUAAAAAGCCCGUCCACUUGAGGAAGAGACCAAGAAGAGAAAAAGGAGAAGAAAUCUUGAGUUGGGCAGUCGUGAUGAGCUUUCUGGGACGAAGCAAGCAUGAGAGGAGGCGCUUGGAAAAUCUGACUGAGAGCUAAGAAGAGGUAGGGAGUCCUUGAGAGAAGACCUGCAAGGAUCUAAGACCCAGAAAUAGGCCCAGCUCCCCAACCCCUGGCCGCUGUAGCUUCAGGACAGCCGACAGGGAGGAGCCUGGGGCCGGUGCCUCCAGCAACAGCACCGCAGACAGCGCCCUUCAGCGCCCCUGACUUCAGCACCACGGACAGCACACCCCGCUGGGGUCGGGGCCUCAGCCCAGCCCCGCCCUGGAAAUAGCUCUUUGGGGCAGUUGGAAUGCAGGCCUGCGAGCCCGCUGAAUAGAUCAAUUAUUUUUCAGAACAUGGUUUUGAUCCCGAUGUUACCUCUCAGGAUCACUGAGUGGAAAGGGCUCGCGGAGAAAAUGGCAUUUUUUAUCACCCUGGCAAAAUGCUCCUGCGCUGAUGAGAUGGGGCGCCCGGCGAGCGCGCGCGCGCACAUGUGGUACAUAACUAACCAGAAGCAUAAUCUUCUAAAUUGAAAGCCAUAAUGUUUGCUGUUGGAGCUAAAUAUUAACAGGGCGUUGUCUCCCCCAACGACCCUCGGGAGGCAGCUGGCUUAGCGGGAGGCUGGCGUCAUAUUCAAGCAACUUGAUUAAAUUCCUUUCUGCCAUCAGAAUUAAGAAAUGAAUAGUUUUAUGAGAGUCAUGCCACAGAGGACAGGAAAAUGAAAUGUUCAGGAGAGAGAGCAGGCGGGUUGCCUGCUCUGUGUUCCUGGUGGGAGUGCUGUCAAUCUACCUAGAAGGGGUGGGCUCAGGACUGGAUAGAUCUUUAAAUGAUAGGCAAUCUUGACUCUUAGGGUCAUCCUGGUACAUAUCUCCUCUCUGGUCAUCAUAAGACACACCAUGGAGCCACCUCAGGAGAUCUCUCAGUUGUUCACUGGAGAGGCAGCAAAAUGUGUAGCUGACGUCAUAGCCUCUGGAGCUACAAUCACUGGAUUCAAAUCCCGUCGCUAACUCUCCCUAGCUGUGUGAUCUUAGGCAAAGUAUCUAACUAACCUUUCUGUGCCAAAGCUUUUUCUAGUUACGAAAUGAAUUUAUUCCAGUACUUAC